RNAcentral lists this ribosomal RNA (382 nucleotides) under uncultured eukaryote. RNAcentral describes it as "partial 18S ribosomal RNA". It matches the Rfam family "Eukaryotic small subunit ribosomal RNA", at positions 592 to 976 of the family's 1831-position model. The record is from RNAcentral.
CAAUAGCGUAUAUUAAAGUUGUUGCAGUUAAAAAGCUCGUAGUUGGAUUUGUGGUGUGUCCAGUCGGCCUUUGCUCUCCGAGUGAUUGUGCUGUACUGGUCUGCCAUGUUUGGGUGGAAUCUGUGUGGCAUUAAGUUGUCGUGCAGGGGAUGCCCAUCGUUUACUGUGAAAAAUUAGAGUGUUCAAAGCAGGCUUAUGCCGUUGAAUAUAUUAGCAUGGAAUAAUGAUAUAGGACCUUGGUACUAUUUUGUUGGUUUGCGCACUAAGGUAAUGAUUAAGAGGGACAGUUGGGGGUAUUUGUAUUCCAUUGUCAGAGGUGAAAUUCUUAGAUUUUUGGAAGACAAACUACUGCGAAAGCAUUUACCAAGGAUGUUUUCAUUAA